GACCCUACGGGGCGCAGCAGUGGGGAAUAUUGGGCAAUGGGCGCAAGCCUGACCCAGCAACGCCGCGUGAAGGAAGAAGGCUCUCGGGUUGUAAACUUCUUUUAUUCGGGACGAAACAAAUGACGGUACCGAAUGAAUAAGCCACGGCUAACUACGUGCCAGCAGCCGCGGUAAUACGGAGGAUGCGAGCGUUAUCCGGAUUUAUUGGGUUUAAAGGGUGCGUAGGCGGUCCGUUAAGUCAGCGGUAAAAUUGCGGGGCUCAACCCCGUCGAGCCGUUGAAACUGGCAGACUUGAGUUGGCGAGA
RNAcentral lists this ribosomal RNA (305 nucleotides) under uncultured bacterium. Its description in RNAcentral is "bacterial SSU rRNA". It matches the Rfam family "Bacterial small subunit ribosomal RNA", at positions 335 to 655 of the family's 1533-position model. The record is from RNAcentral.